RNAcentral lists this long non-coding RNA (583 nucleotides) under Phoenix dactylifera (date palm). RNAcentral describes it as "long non-coding RNA (PDAC_LNC014753)". The record is from RNAcentral. Lineage: Eukaryota; Viridiplantae; Streptophyta; Magnoliopsida; Arecales; Arecaceae.
UCGACUCGCGUUCCACUGGAGUCGACUCGAAUCUCAGACCCGAAAACUGCUUCUGACUUUUCUGCCUGUGACUCCUUGGAGUCGACUCAUACUUCUCCGAAGUCGACUCGGUAAACAUUGGAGUCGACUCGCGCACUUCGGGAGUCGACUCGCUGACAGGUUUUGAAUUGAAGCUUUCUGUUCGUCUGUCUGUUCUCAGUCGGAGUCGACUCGUACCGAUCCGAAGUCGACUCGAGCCCGUGCCAGUGAACUUGAUACGCUUGGAGUCGACUCGUGAUACUCUGGAGUCGACUCGAGUCUCAGACUUUGGUUCAAGCUGACUUCUUAACUUAUCCAAAAUACUAUGAACCAAGUCUAGAGACACUUAGAGAAGAUUUUCACAGAAAACACUUAAUUGAAUUCAUUAGUAAACAAGAAAUAUACUCAAAUACUUUGAGCUCAUCAAAAUCAAAUAGGAUUUUAAUCAAUCACUCCACAAUCUCCCCCUUUUUGAUGAUGACAAAACAUUGAGUAUAUGUAAAGUGAAUUGUACCAUAAACAAUGAAAUAAAAUCCAUAAAUGAAUUCAAAUGUCUGGUAAUUCA